CCUACGGGUGGCAGCAGUGGGGAAUAUUGGACAAUGGGCGAAAGCCUGAUCCAGCCAUGCCGCGUGUGUGAAGAAGGCCUUCGGGUUGUAAAGCACUUUCAGUGGGGAAGAAAGCCUUGGGGCUAAUACCCUCGAGGAAGGACAUCACCCACAGAAGAAGCACCGGCUAACUCCGUGCCAGCAGCCGCGGUAAUACGGAGGGUGCGAGCGUUAAUCGGAAUUACUGGGCGUAAAGCGCGCGUAGGCGGUCUGAUAAGCCGGUUGUGAAAGCCCCGGGCUCAACCUGGGAACGGCAUCCGGAACUGUCAGGCUAGAGUGCAGGAGAGGAAGGUAGAAUUCCCGGUGUAGCGGUGAAAUGCGUAGAGAUCGGGAGGAAUACCAGUGGCGAAGGCGGCCUUCUGGACUGACACUGACGCUGAGGUGCGAAAGCGUGGGUAGCAAACAGGAUUAGAUCCCCCUGUAGUC
RNAcentral lists this ribosomal RNA (465 nucleotides) under Vreelandella stevensii. RNAcentral describes it as "partial 16S ribosomal RNA". It matches the Rfam family "Bacterial small subunit ribosomal RNA", at positions 338 to 795 of the family's 1533-position model. The record is from RNAcentral. Lineage: Bacteria; Pseudomonadati; Pseudomonadota; Gammaproteobacteria; Oceanospirillales; Halomonadaceae.